Molecule: long non-coding RNA, 670 nt
Organism: Frieseomelitta varia
Lineage: Eukaryota; Metazoa; Arthropoda; Insecta; Hymenoptera; Apidae
Exons: 2
Source: RefSeq, a predicted model, not a curated record
CUUCAUCACUCGUUUGGAUUCUUUGCUCGCCUUUACGGUAAUUAGAAAAUUAUUAUAACGCGAUUGAAAAUUGUCUGUGACACGUUGGUUGGAUGUGUGCAUUCGAAUCCAUCGACAUAUUCAGUGGAAUACUCUACAACGUGGAGCCCAACGUCUCCUGGGGGCGAACUCAAGAUGGAGAUCGGGAGAUUCUGUGCUCAGACGAAGACGGACGAAAAAGCUGAUUUUUAAUUGAGGAUAGUGGAAGCUUGGAACAAAUUCAGAGGUGUUUGACAAAAUUUAAUAACAAUUUUGUAAAUUUUUAAAUAUGUAUUCUGCAAGACAAAUGGGAUACAGAGGAAGAGCUGAGGGUGUAAUUGCCAUGAGACACAGUCGUAAAAUGUCACGAUAUUAAUUAAUCGUGUUAGUUAGCCUUUUUCGCAAAUGAAAAAUCGAUCGAUUCAUAAACACUGAAAUGCUGGCGCCGCGUAGCGGUGAUUCAGUCGAACUAAAAUCUAUUUCUGUCCUUGUCACCUGCAAAAUUAUUAAUUAAUUAUUAAUUUAACGAUAAUAUAAUACGUCGGUUAUGACACCAGUCAUGUAAGAUAGGCAUAAAUAUUAUAAAAAUUUCAACAUCCCUAUAACAUGUGCAAUUGUUAAAUGGUUUUAAUAAAUACACAGUUAAAGUUAA